Molecule: ribosomal RNA, 468 nt
Filed under: uncultured bacterium
Lineage: Bacteria
Description: partial 16S ribosomal RNA
Rfam family: Bacterial small subunit ribosomal RNA
Source: RNAcentral
GACGAACGCUGGCGGCGUGCUUAACACAUGCAAGUCGAACGGAAAGGCCCUGCUUUUGUGGGGUGCUCGAGUGGCGAACGGGUGAGUAACACGUGAGUAACCUGCCCUUGACUUUGGGAUAACUUCAGGAAACUGGGGCUAAUACCGGAUAGGAGCUCCUGCUGCAUGGUGGGGGUUGGAAAGUUUCGGCGGUUGGGGAUGGACUCCCGGCUUAUCAGCUUGUUGGUGGGGUAGUGGCUUACCGAGGCUUUGACGGGUAGCCGGCCUGAGAGGGUGACCGGCCACAUUGGGACUGAGAUACGGCCCAGACUCCUACGGGAGGAAGCAGUGGGGAAUAUAGCACAAUGGGCGGAAGCCUAAUGCAGCAACGCCGCGUGCGGGAUAACGGCCUUCGGGUUGUAAACCGCUUUAGCCUGUGACGAAGCGUGAGUGACGGUAAUGGGUAAAGAAGCACCGGCUAACUACGUG